This 497-nucleotide ribosomal RNA is filed under the name uncultured bacterium. RNAcentral's name for it is "partial 16S ribosomal RNA". It matches the Rfam family "Bacterial small subunit ribosomal RNA", at positions 28 to 507 of the family's 1533-position model. The record is from RNAcentral.
GAUGAACGCUGGCGGCGUGCCUAAUACAUGCAAGUCGAGCGAACGGACGAGAAGCUUGCUUUUCUGAUGUUAGCGGCGGACGGGUGAGUAACACGUGGAUAACCUACCUAUAAGACUGGGAUAACUUCGGGAAACCGGAGCUAAUACCGGAUAAUAUUUUGAACCGCAUGGUUCAAAAGUGAAAGACGGUCUUGCUGUCACUUAUAGAUGGAUCCGCGCUGCAUUAGCUAGUUGGUAAGGUAACGGCUUACCAAGGCAACGAUGCAUAGCCGACCUGAGAGGGUGAUCGGCCACACUGGAACUGAGACACGGUCCAGACUCCUACGGGAGGCAGCAGUAGGGAAUCUUCCGCAAUGGGCGAAAGCCUGACGGAGCAACGCCGCGGGAGUGAUGAAGGUCUUCGGAUCGUAAAACUCUGUUAUUAGGGAAGAACAUAUGUGUAAGUAACUGUGCACAUCUUGACGGUACCUAAUCAGAAAGCCACGGCUAACUACGUG